UACGGAGGGGGCUAGCGUUGCUCGGAAUCACUGGGCGUAAAGCGUGCGCAGGCGGUUUUGUAAGCCAGAUGUGAAAGCCCCGGGCUUAACCUGGGAAUGGCAUUUGGGACUGCAAGGCUUGAGUGCGGCAGAGGAGACUGGAAUUCCCGGUGUAGCAGUGAAAUGCGUAGAUAUCGGGAGGAAUACCGAUGGCGAAGGCAGGUCUCUGGGCUGACACUGACGCUCAUGCACGAAAGCGUGGGGAGCAAACAGG
RNAcentral lists this ribosomal RNA (253 nucleotides) under uncultured bacterium. RNAcentral describes it as "partial 16S ribosomal RNA". It matches the Rfam family "Bacterial small subunit ribosomal RNA", at positions 524 to 776 of the family's 1533-position model. The record is from RNAcentral.